This 579-nucleotide ribosomal RNA is filed under the name uncultured bacterium. RNAcentral describes it as "bacterial SSU rRNA". It matches the Rfam family "Bacterial small subunit ribosomal RNA", at positions 102 to 668 of the family's 1533-position model. The record is from RNAcentral.
ACGGGUGAGUAACACGUGGAUAACCUACCUAUAAGACUGGGAUAACUUCGGGAAACCGGAGCUAAUACCUGAUAACAUAUUGAACCGCAUGGUUCAAUAGUGAAAGGCGGCUUUGCUGUCACUUAUAGAUGGAUCCGCGCCGUAUUAGCUAGUUGGUAAGGUAACGGCUUACCAAGGCAACGAUACGUAGCCGACCUGAGAGGGUGAUCGGCCACACUGGAACUGAGACACGGUCCAGACUCCUACGGGAGGCAGCAGUAGGGAAUCUUCCGCAAUGGGCGAAAGCCUGACGGAGCAACGCCGCGUGAGUGAUGAAGGUCUUCGGAUCGUAAAACUCUGUUAUCAGGGAAGAACAAAUGUGUAAGUAACUGUGCACAUCUUGACGGUACCUGAUCAGAAAGCCACGGCUAACUACGUGCCAGCAGCCGCGGUAAUACGUAGGUGGCAAGCGUUAUCCGGAAUUAUUGGGCGUAAAGCGCGCGUAGGCGGUUUUUUAAGUCUGAUGUGAAAGCCCACGGCUCAACCGUGGAGGGUCAUUGGAAACUGGAAAACUUGAGUGCAGAAGAGGAAAGUGGAAUU